This 175-nucleotide microRNA precursor is filed under the name Triticum aestivum (bread wheat). RNAcentral's name for it is "MIR2118 microRNA precursor family". It matches the Rfam family "MIR2118 microRNA precursor family". RNAcentral also lists the same sequence under 1 other name. The record is from Rfam by way of RNAcentral. Lineage: Eukaryota; Viridiplantae; Streptophyta; Magnoliopsida; Poales; Poaceae.
GCUAGGAAGAGGAAGAAAGAGAGAGCUCAAGAGCAAUAGCCAUGGGAACAUGGAGGAAAGCCCUCCUUGUUUAAUUGCAUCUCUAGUGUUGGAGGUGUAAAUAUUUGGCAUGAAACUUUUCCUAAUGCCUCCCAUUCCUAUCGUUCUUGUGCACUACUUCCUCUUCCUUUUGGCU